RNAcentral lists this ribosomal RNA (77 nucleotides) under Pseudomonas syringae. RNAcentral's name for it is "partial 23S ribosomal RNA". The record is from RNAcentral. Lineage: Bacteria; Pseudomonadati; Pseudomonadota; Gammaproteobacteria; Pseudomonadales; Pseudomonadaceae.
GUUAUAUGGUCAAGUGAAGAAGCGCAUACGGUGGAUGCCUUGGCAGUCAGAGGCGAUGAAAGACGUGGUAGCCUGCG